UACGUAGGGUGCGAGCGUUAAUCGGAAUUACUGGGCGUAAAGUGUGCGCAGGCGGCCGAGCAAGUCGAGUGUGAAAGCCCCGAGCUUAACUUGGGAACUGCGCUCGAAACUACUUGGCUAGAGUGUGGCAGAGGGAGGUGGAAUUCCACGUGUAACGGUGAAAUGCGUAGAGAUGUGGAGGAACACCGAUGGCGAAGGCAGCCUCCUGGGCCAACACUGACGCUCAUGCACGAAAGCGUGGGGAGCAAACAGG
Molecule: ribosomal RNA, 253 nt
Filed under: uncultured bacterium
Lineage: Bacteria
Description: partial 16S ribosomal RNA
Rfam family: Bacterial small subunit ribosomal RNA
Source: RNAcentral